This is a long non-coding RNA of Oreochromis niloticus (Nile tilapia), 326 nucleotides long. RefSeq lists it as uncharacterized. The transcript is spliced from 2 exons. NCBI's taxonomy places the organism in Eukaryota, Metazoa, Chordata, Actinopteri, Cichliformes, Cichlidae. The record is from RefSeq and is a predicted model, not a curated record.
UCCACAUAAGGACCCUGCUGUUAUCCAUGGGACAAUCCCAGGAGCUGGUAGAGACACACGGAAAGAAGAAACACAUGAAAACAUGGCAGAGCCAAUUGUCUACGCUACAGCUGAAGAGGAUGAACACCCUUGGCCUCACAUACAAAGAAUGUCUCGUUUCAAAGCAGUACAAAAGAACAGCUAUGUCUGCAGUGUCGGUGUCUUCAGUGAGAGCCAAAACAAAACAAAUUUUCAGCGUGAAAAAACUCAACUCGUGUAACCUGAGGAAACGGUCUCAACUUCAUCAGACAUCACCUAGACUCAGAGCUGGAUGAGGCCAGCACAAA